RNAcentral lists this ribosomal RNA (3311 nucleotides) under Triticum aestivum (bread wheat). RNAcentral describes it as "partial small subunit ribosomal RNA". Lineage: Eukaryota; Viridiplantae; Streptophyta; Magnoliopsida; Poales; Poaceae. The record is from RNAcentral.
GUCGCUAAUCGCUAAAGACCGGCAACCUAGUUAAACGAACUACGCAAAGUCUGGCAAGCUAGCUACGCCACUUUUUAAGACCGGCAACCUAGCGGGGGGCGCGGACAUCGUUACUUAUCAAUGACGGGAGAGGGCCAGAGAGAGUGAAGCGCCUGAGCAAGGCCAGAGCGACGGCACACCCCAUUGGUCGUCUACCCCGGGCGUACAGUAAACGAACCCGACCCCGCGCAGGGCACGCCGGGCAGCCGCGCCAGGUUGCCAUUUUCUAGAGUACGGUGGCGGCUUUAAGGGCAGGGGGCGGCUCCCGUAAAAUCAGUAAAGCGCAGAUCCAGUUGUGAACGGCAAAACGCUAAGCGACGAAGGAGGGGGGUUACUCACAUCCCAAGCUAGAGAGGAGUGAGAGAAAGAAGGGGCGUGCAGAGAGAGCCCUCUCUCGACGGCGGCGGCGGUCAGUAGGAGGAGCGGAGAGGAGGAGGGGUAUCCGGGGGUAGUUCGAGCGCGAGUGACGAGACCCAGCGCGCGGCGGCGCGGGGGCCAGUUGAGACGUGCCCGGCGGAGGGAGGAGGAGGAGGGGUAGCCCUAGCCCGUCCUCCUCGCGUCCGAGCCGCGGCCGGGAGCGCUCACUCCAUCCUGCGCGCGUCCUCCCUCGCCGCCUCGUUCCAGAGACAGUUAGACGACAACACCAACGAUAACACCAGUAGCUAAACGUCUGAGCAGACGACAACGGCCACGGGACUGAACGAGACGAAAAUCUGAUUAUGCAGAUAUCUAAAUCUAUGAACUACAAUAUAUAACGAUUAAACGUCCAUAUUGAGUUUGAACUAUUAGAUAUCUAAAUCUAUGAACUACAAUAUAUAAAAAGAGACCAGAGGACUUACAACCACGACUAAUUAUGCAUCAUAAUUUACAUACGUAGAAAGAGUAAGACUUUUAAAGGGACGAAAGGACUGGUAGUUUACAGAUAACUGGUAACAAUGAGAACGGACCUCAUCAGACAAUGUGAAUAGUCCGGAUCCGUCCCGUAAGUGUGAUGGCUUUUCAAACCAAAGUCAUUCUGAAUUAGACCAUUGGAUAAAACAGGAAGAGAAGCGCCAAACCCUCUCUAUGGCGUCUCUUCUGGUGGUCUCUUUACCAGCAGGGCCUGGGUCUGAUAGUAGCGAUAUUAAACACUCGAGAUCUCCGUUCAAGAUGUCCUGCCGCCAAGCUGGGCGUUACAACAUACCGCGCCUCACAACCGGCUGAUUUUCCGCUGUACAAGUUGUCAAUCCACACCGCCUCUACGCAUACAACUCUACCUACACACCGGUGUGCUCCUUCCUAGCUCAGGCCUUACUACUAUAUGCUCUAUCUCAACCCCAUCGUGGUUAACUCCUCUUCGAACAGGUUGUAGCAAACUCUACCAAACCCGUAUAAGUCGCGUCCGGAGGUCUUCGAGGUCACGUAUCGCCUGCCGAUUUCGCACGCCUCUUACAGUUCUCUCCCGCCCCAGCUGGCUAAAACUGUACCCUCCUCAGGCAAUUCUCUCUGGACUUCCUAACCUCAUAGCUGUUUCUCGAUCGAUACCUGUCCCCACGCACCUUCGAACGAUAGGUACACGGUCUCGGUACUCAACCAACGCUCUAGAAUACCCAAAGUGGAGAUCGGAUGGGGUUGAACAAACCCUGAUUUCCGAAACAACAACAACAACAACAACAACAACAGACCAUCCGGCCAUUAUACAGGUAGGUAAUUGGUCAUGAAACAGCAUUACGUCCCUAUAUACCACACAGACGUAUACGUAUUUUACAAGAACAGCGACGUGGACAUCUGGAUGACCCCGACGAAGAGAACAAAGUCCUAACGUUUUUCCACAGCCGAACUCUAACUGGUGUAGACAACAUAGAUGGACCUCCGGCCGAGAGAGUCAAGUGAGUUCUCGUAGAAACAAGGCGACAUCUACUUUUACAUUCUACGGUCUCGGUGCUGCACUCACGCAGACGAAGGGGAAUCCUCCUUCAACUUCCACAAUGGUAAGUACCUGUACCUUGUCUUCGACGGGUCUAUAGACGUCCAGUGGACGCGUGCUACACAGGUAAACUAAGUUUAAAACUUUGUACUCUCGACCUUUUCGUCUCCGACCUAAUGUUUUUGCCGUCGUCUGACCUACGACUUCAAGUAGAUAGGAGGUAACUAGGAAACUACACAUGUGUAUAUCUUCGCGACUUCUGACAAGCCACUGACUACACUUCGUUUCAAGUUACCGAGGAAGUCACGAUAUAUCUCAACCUAGUCGGUAAGGCGUCAGCUACGUUACAAGCUUCGUGAUUCGUCUCCUUGCGAUAACGACGAAAGCUUUACGAUAACCUAGAAUAUUUCUAAAAACCUGGACAAUAAGUAAGUUGUAACAGUCGAUCGAGUGGGUAACCUCAUCUUGAAGUUCGGCUUGUCUCCACGGUACAACACCUAUUGUUCCUCUAAUAGUUCCACCUCGUCGCCACUCAUACCUCGGGUAUUAGUAGUCAAGUAGUGGUACUUCGUCUUCUUUACCAUAUCGAAACGGUACGACCUGAAACCCUCGGCGACGAGGAGCCGUUGUCCUCCAUGUCGGCGACGGUGGUGAGGAAGUGUCGCUGCGUCCGGUCGCUGCUCCUCCGAGCGUUACCACCCCCUGGGUAUUGGUAGGCGGUCUCUCCUCUUUCCGUAUGGGUGGGGAAAAUUACUAACUUUACGUCCAGGUCCCUUUUGUAGACGUGAUGACAACCCGGUUAACUACGAUCCACAUGUAACUCUACAAAGUCUUUAUCUAGGAACUACGGCUUGUAUCACGUUACCAGGAGUGUAGUGUUGUGGGCUCGUUCCGACCGUUCCGAACGAGCGGUACCGGAUGGUGUAGCCGCUCUGCCCCGCUCGUACACUAGUGGUAGUCGUCAAGGAAGCAGUGUUGUGGACUCGCUCGCUCUACAAGUCUGUUUCAAUAUACAAUGUGACGAUAACUGUAUACAGUAUCUACCUGUCAUGUAUAGCAAAGAGAGGUACAAUAUUAAAGACACUGGAGCCGUAAACUUUCUGUACAGUAGGCUUAGCAGAUAGUAUUGACUUGGUAAUGAUAGUGUUCGUAGAAUGAAAAUCUUAAGUAUACUACCAAGUCAAUAGAUAUAAUACACACGGUAAACAAUGGAGACUUUAUAUAUAAUACACACGGGACAGUACAACCAAAUAAAAACCACGGUUUUACGACGACUCGUAAACCACACUGACUAACGUGACGGGUAAAUCACAACAAACCCGUAUACGGUACAUAACCUGUGUUGGUACAAUAGAUAUUUCCGUUA